GCCUACGGGGGGCAGCAGUGAGGGAUAUUGGUCAAUGGGCGAGAGCCUGAACCAGCCAAGUCGCGUGAGGGAAGACGGUCCUAUGGAUUGUAAACCUCUUUUGUCGGGGAGCAAAAAGACUACGUGUAGUCCCAAGCGAGAGUACCCGAAGAAAAAGCAUCGGCUAACUCCGUGCCAGCAGCCGCGGUAAUACGGAGGAUGCGAGCGUUAUCCGGAUUUAUUGGGUUUAAAGGGUGCGCAGGCGGAUUUUUAAGUCAGCGGUCAAAUCGUGGGGCUCAACCCCAUCCAGUCGUUGAAACUGGGGA
RNAcentral lists this ribosomal RNA (305 nucleotides) under uncultured bacterium. RNAcentral's name for it is "bacterial SSU rRNA". It matches the Rfam family "Bacterial small subunit ribosomal RNA", at positions 337 to 639 of the family's 1533-position model. The record is from RNAcentral.